This 240-nucleotide unclassified non-coding RNA is filed under the name soil metagenome. Its description in RNAcentral is "partial contains 5.8S ribosomal RNA, internal transcribed spacer 2, and large subunit ribosomal RNA". The record is from RNAcentral.
AACUGAUACUACCUGCGGGAACCUGCGGAAGGAUCAUUAACACGUAUCCAAUAUACACCUUAUUCACCCCUUUAGUGUCAACAUGUACCGUUAAAAAUCAAAGCCUCUACGCACUGCGCUUCUUUCUUAUGAAUGAAAGUUGUUUGGUUUGGCUCACGCAGUCCGCGGCUUUGAGGGAAGAGAAAAUAAGCAACAACUUGUUUUUUCUUCUCUUUUUAGUGAUAAUCUCAGAGCAAAACG